RNAcentral lists this ribosomal RNA (311 nucleotides) under uncultured Leptolinea sp. RNAcentral's name for it is "bacterial SSU rRNA". It matches the Rfam family "Bacterial small subunit ribosomal RNA", at positions 1055 to 1374 of the family's 1533-position model. The record is from RNAcentral. Lineage: Bacteria; Bacillati; Chloroflexota; Anaerolineae; Anaerolineales; Anaerolineaceae.
UCAGCUCGUGUCGUGAGAUGUUCGGUUAAGUCCGCUAACGAGCGCAACCCUCGCUGUGUGUUAUAUGUGUCACACGGGACUGCCGGUCUUAAGCCGGAGGAAGGUGGGGAUGAUGUCAAGUCAGCAUGGCCUUUAUAUCCUGGGCUACACACACGCUACAAUGGCCAACACAAUAGGUUGCUAAGCCGCGAGGUGGCGCCAAUCCAUAAAGUUGGUCUCAGUUCAGAUUGUAGGCUGCAACUCGACUCCAUGAAGCUGGAGUCGCUAGUAAUCCCGGAUCAGCACUUGCCCGGGUAAUACGUUCCGGCCUU